CGUGUAGGCGGUUUGUUAAGUCUGAUGUGAAAGCCCCGGGCUCAACCUGGGAAGUGCAUUGGAUACUGGCAGACUUGAAUACGGGAGAGGGUAGUGGAAUUCCUGGUGUAGGAGUGAAAUCCGUAGAUAUCAGGAGGAACACCGGUGGCGAAGGCGGCUGCCUGGACCGAUAUUGACGCUGAGACGCGAAAGCGUGGGGAGCAAACAG
Molecule: ribosomal RNA, 208 nt
Filed under: uncultured delta proteobacterium
Lineage: Bacteria; Deltaproteobacteria
Description: partial 16S ribosomal RNA
Rfam family: Bacterial small subunit ribosomal RNA
Source: RNAcentral